AUUGAACGCUGGCGGCAUGCUUUACACAUGCAAGUCGAACGGCAGCGCGGGCUUCGGCCUGGCGGCGAGUGGCGAACGGGUGAGUAAUACAUCGGAACGUGCCCAGUAGUGGGGGAUAGCUCGGCGAAAGCCGGAUUAAUACCGCAUACGACCUGAGGGUGAAAGCGGGGGAUCUUCGGACCUCGCGCUAUUUGGGGGGCCGAUGGCAGAUUAGCUAGUUGGUGGGGUAAAGGCCUACCAAGGCGACGAUCUGUAGCUGGUCUGAGAGGACGACCAGCCACACUGGGACUGAGACACGGCCCAGACUCCUACGAGAGGCAGCAGUGGGGAAUUUUGGACAAUGGGCGAAAGCCUGAUCCAGCAAUGCCGCGUGUGUGAUGAAGGCCUUCGGGUUGUAAAGCACUUUUGGCGGGAACGAAAAGGACUGUGCCAAUACCACGGUUCGAUGACGGUACCCGCAGAAUAAGCACCGGCUAACUACGUG
This 484-nucleotide ribosomal RNA is filed under the name uncultured bacterium. Its description in RNAcentral is "partial 16S ribosomal RNA". It matches the Rfam family "Bacterial small subunit ribosomal RNA", at positions 29 to 507 of the family's 1533-position model. The record is from RNAcentral.